Molecule: ribosomal RNA, 497 nt
Filed under: uncultured bacterium
Lineage: Bacteria
Description: partial 16S ribosomal RNA
Rfam family: Bacterial small subunit ribosomal RNA
Source: RNAcentral
GAUGAACGCUGGCGGCGUGCCUAAUACAUGCAAGUCGAGCGAACGGACGAGGAGCUUGCUCCUCUGACGUUAGCGGCGGACGGGUGAGUAACACGUGGAUAACCUACCUAUAAGACUUGGAUAACUUCGUGAAACCGGAUCUAAUACCGGAUAAUAUAUUGAACCGCAUGGUUCAAUAGUGAAAGACGGUUUUGCUGUCACUUAUAGAUGGAUCCGCGCCGCAUUAGCUAGUUGGUAAGGUAACGGCUUACCAAGGCAACGAUGCGUAGCCGACCUGAGAGGGUGAUCGGCCACACUGGAACUGAGACACGGUCCAGACUCCUACGGGAGGCAGCAGUAGGGAAUCUUCCGCAAUGGGCGAAAGCCUGACGGAGCAACGCCGCGUGAGUGAUGAAGGUCUUCGGAUCGUAAAACUCUGUUAUUAGGGAAGAACAUAUGUGUAAGUAACUAUGCACGUCUUGACGGUACCUAAUCAGAAAGCCACGGCUAACUACGUG